RNAcentral lists this transfer RNA (73 nucleotides) under Ictidomys tridecemlineatus (thirteen-lined ground squirrel). Its description in RNAcentral is "Spermophilus tridecemlineatus (thirteen-lined ground squirrel) tRNA". It matches the Rfam family "tRNA". Rfam says of the family: Transfer RNA (tRNA) molecules are approximately 80 nucleotides in length. Their secondary structure includes four short double-helical elements and three loops (D, anti-codon, and T loops). The record is from Rfam by way of RNAcentral. Lineage: Eukaryota; Metazoa; Chordata; Mammalia; Rodentia; Sciuridae.
GGAGAUAUAGCUUGGUUGGUACAGUGUUUGCCUCACACACACAAGGCCCUGGGUUCAAUCCCCAGCAUCCCUC